RNAcentral lists this transfer RNA (70 nucleotides) under Dipodomys ordii (Ord's kangaroo rat). It matches the Rfam family "tRNA". From Rfam's summary of the family: Transfer RNA (tRNA) molecules are approximately 80 nucleotides in length. Their secondary structure includes four short double-helical elements and three loops (D, anti-codon, and T loops). The record is from Rfam by way of RNAcentral. Lineage: Eukaryota; Metazoa; Chordata; Mammalia; Rodentia; Heteromyidae.
GGGAAUGUGGCUUAGUGGUAGAGUGCUUGCCUGGCAUGCAUGAAGCCCUGGGUUCAAUUCCUCAGCACCA